CCGGCAGGCAGUAAUGGCGGAUGCUGCACGCUGAAGGUGUGGAAGGCCUCCGUUAGGAGGCGGCUCUCGGGCAAGGGGGAGGGGAGGAGGUAAAUACGACGGCAGGCCAAUGACAAGCAAGUUUUCUGUCUGAAGGCAAGUGCCAUCAACAGCCACGAUCUCCACUGUGGACAGGGCAAAGAGGUAGUUUCCAAAUACAUAUGAGCCAGAACAAGGAUGGAAUUCUGUGCCAUUGGCACCAAGUACCAGCUGAGCCAACAAGGUCCCCAAUUCAUGCAAUGAAGAAGUUAUCCAACACCUACCCUCCAAAGGGGCAAAGAUUCUUGUAAAGCUGUCCUGGUUGACAAUUGCAAACUGCUGUACAAAAGAGAGGCAACCUUUGUUAUGCAUUAAUACAAACGCAAUAUGUAAGGUUGCAGGAAAUCUGAAAUAAAAGCAAAAACUGCAGGUGAAACUCCGCAGGUCAGGCUGUACAUGUAGAGAGAACAGCACAGUAUAUAUUGCAGAUCAAUGAUUUUUAAUUGGUGCCUGUUGUUUUUUUAACAGCUAAAGGUCCCUUAUCAUACAUGGAGUUAUGAAGAUCAAUAACUUACACUUAUAUGCUGCUUUAAACACAGUAAAACAUUUCAAGGCACUGCAAUAGAUUGUUCAGUUAAAAAUGAACCCAAACAGUAUAAAACAAUGUUAAGGCAGGUGAGAGACUUUGGUUGCAGAACAGAUUUUAAAGAGGACAGAAACAUAGAGAGAUUUAGGAAGAAAAUUUCAGGGUUUAGGGCUGAAACUCUUUAAGACAGAAUGACCCAAUGGUGGGACCUGGUUGGGCAGGAAUGCACGAAGCUCAGAUUGAAAGAUUUCCGUGAGUCCUUUUUUUUUCUCAAUCAUAUACUGUGUCAUCUAUCACUGAGUUUUGUAGAUAACCCAGAGAUUUGAGCACAUAAAACAGACUGGUUCAGUGUAAUAUUGAGGGAAAGCGCAAGUGUCAGUAGUGAAGUAUUUUUAAUGCUUAUCCGAUACCUCAUCUACUUUCUCAGAUGAACAUAUCCCUCAUACUAUGGUAGAUGAUCCAGCUGCCUUGAGUACUCACCCAAGGCUUGAAAGAUUGGAGUGCAAAGCUUUUCUUUUCAGGGAAUAAUUCAAAACCAGAGAGUUCACAUUGCCCUCCUGAGGAUUGAUGAUGUUUGUUGCUGCGACAAAUAAAGAAUUUCAUCUGUGUCAGAAAUGUGCUUACAUCUACAAAGCAAAGGACAACAGUGGAGGUCCUGCUCGUAAAGAGUUCUGUCAUUUGGGGUAAAGUGACCUCUGCUCAAUGGAGCAAAGGGUGUGCAGGCACAGGAUUCAUUCGAUGCUCUACCCAUCAACUGCUUCCGAGGAUUUCCAGGGUCUCGCUUUGUCGGAUCUACAUAACGUUUCUUUCACCCGACAACGCUUCUGGAAUAUUUGCACUUACCUAGUUCUAGCUUCUUGAGCAGCACCAAUUUUCACUGCUACACAACUCAUUGUAGUGCCUUCAAUUACCAAGGCUAUAAAUUCUGAAAUUCUGUUCCUAAGGAUUUAUGUGUCUUUAUCUCUCUGCCCUCCUUUAAAAUACUCUUUUAAACCUACCGAUUUGCUUGUUCAAAUAUUUCCUUCCCUGGCCAGCUGUCAAACGUUCAUUGUUAACACACCUGUAAUGUUCUUGAGGCAUUCUGUUGAUUGUGGUUCCUCAUCAAUUUCUAUAAUCCCUAGUAACAUCCUUGUACUCUUUCUCAUGUGACCACAUGUUCCUGUAAUGCAGUGACAAGAACAGUACACAAUACUCUGCCUGCAGUCUACUUGGUGCUUUGUACAGUUGCAGUGUAAAUUCCCUGCACUUAUACUCCAAACCUCAGCCAGUAAGGGAAAGAAUCUUAUAUGCAUCCUUGACCCCUUAUCCCUCUGUCCCACUAUUUUCAGGGAUCUGUAAUCAUGCAUUCCAAGCUCCAUAUACACUUGCCAAUAUCCUAUUCAAUAUUGGGCAUUUUCAUCACAUACUUGUUCUUUCUAAGUGAAUUAGCACACAUUUCUUCAGAUUGCAAGGGUAUUUUUAACAGUUUUUUUUUCAGAUAUAAUAAUCCUUAGCUCCCUGCCCCUGCUCACAUAGCUGACUUGUUUUUAUUGUACCUGCAUUCCAUUUCAACAUCACACACAAUACAAACUGACAUAAAUGCUCCAAAUCAAAUUUGUCAGUUUGAGAAUGAAGCAUUCCAAGAUACUUCAACACACAGAUGUUGACCAAACUCUGUAUGGUGCACACCUUAUAUUACAAUAUUUAUACAAAUGUAAUUGGAUCUAUUACUGGAGAAUUUUAGAGAGAGCUUUGAAUGCAACUAAUCUGUGUGACAUGUGGCCUGGGAGUGCACCAUGCUGACACUAGAUACAAAGAGGUCUUCAGCCUAUAGACCGCCUUUCCUGAGCAACUACUAGCUCUGACAAAGGCUCACUGGACCCAAAAUGUUGAUUGUUUUCUCUCCAAAGAUGCUGCCAGACCUGCUGAAUUUCACCAGCAGUUUCUGUUUUUGCUUCAGAUCUGCCGCAUCCCGCAGUUCUUUAUUUAAAGUUUAGUGUUGACAGUGCUGUGUUUUGGAUGAAUUAUUAACAGAAGGUCUUCUUGCCCUCUCAGGUGAAUGUAAAAGAUUUAAUUUGAAAAUGUUCUACCUUGUGUUCAGGACCAAUAUUUAUCCAUCAGCAAAUAUCAUUCUGAACAGAUUAAAGUGAUCAUGAUCUUUUUUUUAUUCACCCAUGGGAUGUAGACAUUGUUGGCUGGGCCAGCAUUUAUGACCUGUCCUUAAAUACCCUUGAGAAGGUGGUAGUGAGCUGGCUGUUAACUUGCAGUUCAUGCACUGGAAGCCAUGAAGAAGCAAAUUCAAAGAUUUUGACCUUGCAACACUGAAGGAUCAGCGAUAUAUUUCCAAGUCAGGCUGGAGAGUGGCUUGGAGGGGAAAUUACUGAUAGUUGUGUUCCCACAUACCUGCUGCCCUUGUCCUUCUCAAAGGUGAUGGUCAUAGGUUUGGAAGGUGCUGUCUAAGGAUCUUUGGUGAAUUUCUCCACUGCGUCUUGUACGUGGUAUGCACUGCUUCUAAAGAGUACCAGUGUUGGAGUGACUGAAAGUUUGUGAAUGUGGUGCCAAUCAAGCAGCUGCUUUGUCGUGGAUGGUUCUCAAGCUUCCCGAGUAUUGUUGGAGAUGCACCCAUCUAGGCAAAGGGGUAUCUUAUUACAUUACUUAUUUGUGCCAUGUAGGUGGUGGACAGGAUUUGGGGUGUCAGAGGUGAAUUCCUCACAGCAGUAUUCCUUGGCUCUGACCUGCUCUUGAAGUAACUAUGUUUAUAUGGUGAACCCAGUUGAGUUUCUGGUCAAUGGUAACCCCCAGGAUGUUGGUAGUGGAGGAUUCAAUGAUGGGAAAACCAUUCAAUGUCAAGAGGGAUGUGGUUAGAUUGUCUCUUAUUGAGAUGGUCAUUGUCUAGCAUUUAUGUGGCAUAAAUGUUACUGAUCACGUUUCAGUCCAAACCUGGAUAUUGUCUAAUUCUUGUUGCAUUUGGACAUGAACUGUUCCAGUCUCUGUGGAGUUGCAAAUGGUGCUGAACAAUGUGCAAUCAUUGGCGAACAUCCUCACUUCUGACCUUAUGAUGGAGGCAAAGUUAUUGAUGAAGUAGCUGAAGAUGGUUGGGCACAGGACACUAUCCUGAGGAGCCCCUGCAGAAAUGUCCUGGAGCUGAAAUGACCAAUGUCCAAUAACCUCAACCGUCUUCCUGUGUGCUAGGUCUGAUUCCAGUGAUUCUAGGUGCUGCUUUUUGCCACAAAUAGUCAAAUGCAGCCUCAGUGUCAAGGGCUGUCACUCUCACCUACCUGGAAUUCAGCUCUUUUGUCCAUUUUUGAACCAAGGCUGUAUAUAAGGUCAGGAGCUGAGUGGCACUGGCUGAACCCAAACUGGGCCUCACUGAGCAGGUAUUGCUAAGGAAAGAAUGCUUGUUAGCGUUGAAGACACCUUCUAUUGCUUUACUGAUGAUCAAAAUUUUUAGAUGGGGUGGUAAUAGGCUGGUAGCUGUUUUGGAACAACUGAUGUCAGUAUCCUUGUUAUUCAGACGUUCCAGGGAUAAGUGUAUGUCCAGGUGACUGCAGUGCACCUAUUGUGAUGGUUGUCCAACAUGGAGGAGCACAAGGCAUCUGCUGAGCAAGGACUGUAAGAGAUAAUCAGCAGAAGGUUUCUUUGCCAGUGUUUAACCUGGAGCCAUCAAACUUCAUGGAAUCUGGAGUCAAUAUUGAGGACUCUCAGGGAAAUUCCUUCCUGACUGUAUACCACUGUACCACCACCUCUGCUGGGCCUGUGCUGCUGUUGGGAGAGAACAUGUCCAGAGAUGGGGAUGGUGGUAUCUGGGACAUUGUCUGCAAAGUUGCCCUUCAUUGGAGCUUGAUGUGUACAAAUUGGCUGCCAGCGACUACACUUCAAAAGGCACUUAAUCCCAGUACUUUAGGACAUCCACUGAUCGUGACAGAUAAAUGUAAGUGGGCUAGAAGACCCACCAGCUACAGAAGUGUGUCAUAAUUGUUUUAACAGAUUCAUUAAAAAUAUCUAUAAAUGCAAGUCUUUCCCUAUAUUUCAGGUCAAUUCACUAAUUUCCUGUC
Molecule: long non-coding RNA, 4638 nt
Organism: Stegostoma tigrinum
Lineage: Eukaryota; Metazoa; Chordata; Chondrichthyes; Orectolobiformes; Stegostomatidae
Exons: 3
Source: RefSeq, a predicted model, not a curated record